RNAcentral lists this long non-coding RNA (2032 nucleotides) under Homo sapiens (human). Its description in RNAcentral is "non-protein coding lnc-BCL2L2-1:1". Lineage: Eukaryota; Metazoa; Chordata; Mammalia; Primates; Hominidae. The record is from RNAcentral.
UACUUUCUUUUCAUAUUUCAACUUUAUUUAAAAUAUGAGGUUUUAUGUCCAGAAGGGAGGGCAGUUGCCCAUGGAAGGUGAAGUGAGGCACAAUACUAUUGGGUUGCGGGCCAAGUACACAGGGUUGCACUGUGAAGGAACUGAGGAGGUUCUGGGAGGGCCUGGUGACAACAAUGGAUUUGGGGAGAUCCACAAAGGAAAUUUUCAUUUCCUCCCCAGGUUAGCUAUUCAGUGGGUGGAUUAUUCAGUCUUUUUAGCAAGGUCACUGCUCCUUAGCAACAUCAACAAAAGUGCCAAAGCUGAGGACACAGAGAAUACCAUCAUUGUCUUUUGUUUCUCUUUAUGCCUGGAUGGGGAAAGGAAUGGAAACUAAUAGCAGAAAAUGAAACAUUUCUGAUGUUAUCCCUUGCCAUGAAGAAUCACGGGCUUGUGUAGAGACCUCUUUCUUUUCUUUUUUUUUUUGAGGGUCUCACUGUCACCAAGCUGGAGUGCAGUGGUGCGAUCAUAGCUCAGUAACCUCCAACUCCUGGGCUCAAGCGAUCCUCCUGUCUCAGCUUCCUGAGUAGCUGGGAAUACAGAUGUGUGCCACCAUGCCCAGCUAAUUUUAAAAGUUAAGGUUUUAAAUUUUGUUUUUAAAGAGGAAAAAAAAUAUAACAUCAUGGUUACACAGAGGCUCUGGAGAUUCCCUGGGUUCACAAUCCUACUUCUGCCAUUUACUAGCUGUGCGAUCUUGAACAAAUUUCUGAGCUUCUCUGAGCCUGUUUCCUCAUCUCUAAAACAGAGAUAAUGACAAUGUUCUACUUACAGGGUUGUUUUGGGCAUGCAUGCAAACAAAACAGAUUUUAUGAUCGAGUCAUAGUUCUGGAAAGGAAGAAAAACCCAGAUUUGCGCACACAAGUGUUAAGUAAAUGUGAGCCCUCACUAUUGUUCAUACAACAUGGCAGUGACACACAUACAUUAGACAAGAGAUUAUUACACACUGAGCCUCCACCCAGUCUCCCUAUUAUCCUCCCAUGGGCUCCUAAUUGAUGACUAAACAGUGCAUUGCUGGGUGGCUUCCAGUAGUUUCUUUCUUCACUUUGCUGCAACUUUGAACUGAAGGUGAUCCACAUGGUACAUGACAUUCUUCCUGUUUUCUUCACAAGACAAGGAUGAUGUUUAAAUGGGCAUUUGUUUGCGGAAUGACUUGGAGAGUUCCUCUCUUUCAGCCAUCUUUUCUCAAAGACUAAGGCUCUGGGAGAUCCUUGUUCAUUUGUAACAUCAGGAACUGCUUCUUUUCCUCCUUCUCUCUUCUAGAAGACUGUCAAGGAGCCCGAGUGAGGGAAGCAGACCAACCAUGGUCUUGGAGAAAAGAAAAUAGGGUUUCCAUCCCUUCUUUUUUUUUUUUUUUUUUACAACCAAGUGGAUUGAUUGAAAUGCUUUGAUUCUUCAUUUGAAAUGUUUCUAUUCCAUAUACCCAUUAUCUUUUAUCCUCACAAAAGCCCUUAACAUUGUUUCCUUUAAUCUUUGGGGUUCUUAAGCAUCAUUUCCACCAACAGAGAUGUACCUACCCACAGUUGUCUCAGAGCAUGGAGGCUGAAAGUCUGUGAGGACAAGAGUGAAAUGGAGCAGAGGAUAGGCUGUGGUUUGGAAGCGGCUCUGGAAUACGCUGGGGGUGGCGGUGGGGCUGAAGGUUGGUUAUGGGAUGCUUCCUGGGCUCCGGAACAUCUGUGCCAAAAACUGGAGGACCCAUCCUCGGCUCCAGCCAGACGCUUGGGGUGCUAUGUAUUCUGAACCAUAGCACUAGGUUGGAAAAUUUGGCUCCUAAUCUAUACUCUGCCAUGUACAGAUCACAAAAUAUCAUACAAGGAGCCUUAAAAGGUCAUCUAACCUAAAUCCAGUUUCCCAAGGAGAACACUGGGGCACAAAGAAGUGAGAGGUAACUCGCCCAAAGUUAUAUAGCUAGUCAGGGACUUCCUCUUCGGAGACAAAGGAAAUCAGAAUAGUGAUUCUUCUGAUUCACCGUCCCUCGACAAACAGUCCACAAAGUGCU